Molecule: long non-coding RNA, 316 nt
Filed under: Lathyrus oleraceus (garden pea)
Lineage: Eukaryota; Viridiplantae; Streptophyta; Magnoliopsida; Fabales; Fabaceae
Description: Pisum sativum (pea) long non-coding RNA (PSAT_LNC030699)
Source: RNAcentral
GAAUGAAAACAACCAUCACAUAACAAAAUGCACAAUAAGUGCCAUAGUCAUACAUCAAAUCAGAUACAAAUCUCCAGAAUCGGGAAAGAAAUACAAACAAAUGAAUUCCGUCAACAAGCCUGACGGUAAUCCAACACAAAUGAAAGAUCUAGCCUGAUGAGGGUCCCACAGAUGGCCCUAUCUCAGCUUCCAUCUUCGCGAACUCUACGGCGAACCUGAGCUCGGUGUUCUCCUGCUGUAAUCUCCCCACCUCCUUCUGGUGAAUCUUCAUCUGCCUGAAGUAAUGAUCUCUCUCAGCAAUGUAAUGAUCUCUCUC